CUGUCAAAAAGGCAUACCCACCGAAAGGUGGUGACGCAAAGCAUCGAGGCUACCGGCGCAGCACCAGCGCCCAGGCCGGUCGAGCUGCCAAC
This 92-nucleotide non-coding RNA is filed under the name Candidatus Muproteobacteria. RNAcentral's name for it is "c-di-GMP sequence". It matches the Rfam family "c-di-GMP-I riboswitch aptamer". Rfam says of the family: GEMM was predicted in a large-scale screen for bacterial structured RNA regulatory elements. Genes associated with GEMM are involved in a diverse array of functions, including chemotaxis regulation, signal transduction, secretion and chitin. The record is from RNAcentral. Lineage: Bacteria; Pseudomonadati; Pseudomonadota.